Ovis aries (sheep) is the source of this 71-nucleotide transfer RNA. It matches the Rfam family "tRNA". Rfam says of the family: Transfer RNA (tRNA) molecules are approximately 80 nucleotides in length. Their secondary structure includes four short double-helical elements and three loops (D, anti-codon, and T loops). The record is from Rfam. NCBI's taxonomy places the organism in Eukaryota, Metazoa, Chordata, Mammalia, Artiodactyla, Bovidae.
UCCCUGGUGGCUUAGAGGUUAAAGCAUCUGCCUCCAAUGCGGAGACCUGGGUUCAAUCCCUGGGUCGGGAA